RNAcentral lists this ribosomal RNA (539 nucleotides) under uncultured organism. RNAcentral's name for it is "eukaryotic LSU rRNA". The stretch from base 109 to 264 matches the Rfam family "5.8S ribosomal RNA". The record is from RNAcentral.
UAACGAACCCCGGCGCGGUCUGCGCCAAGGAACAUGGAUACAAGUGUGCCCUUCCUUGCCCGGUUCGCUGGGCAAUGAGGUGGCACCAAGUCGUAUAUAACAUUAAACGACUCUCGGCAACGGAUAUCUCGGCUCUCGCAUCGAUGAAGAACGUAGCGAAAUGCGAUACCUGGUGUGAAUUGCAGAAUCCCGCGAACCAUCGAGUCUUUGAACGCAAGUUGCGCCCGAAGCCUUUAGGUCGAGGGCACGCCUGCCUGGGCGUCACGCAUCGCGUCUCCCCCAACCCACCAAGCGUGGGAGGGGCGGAGGAGGAUGGCCUCCCAUGCCUCACCGGGCGUGGAUGGCCUAAAUAGGGAGCCCUCAGUUACGAGAUGCGGGCGAUUGGUGGCCUAAUAUAGGAUGCUUUGCGCCCCGCACCACGUAGCUCUUGAGGUCUCGAAGGACCCUUAGUUGUCUGCCCUAACGGGUGACAAAACCGUUGCGACCCCAGGUCAGGCGGGGCUACCCGCUGAGUUUAAGCAUAUCAAUAAGCGGAGGAA